UACGUAGGGUGCAAGCGUUAAUCGGAAUUACUGGGCGUAAAGCGUGCGCAGGCGGUAAUGUAAGACAGUUGUGAAAUCCCCGGGCUCAACCUGGGAACUGCAUCUGUGACUGCAUUGCUGGAGUACGGCAGAGGGGGAUGGAAUUCCGCGUGUAGCAGUGAAAUGCGUAGAGAUGCGGAGGAACACCGAUGGCGAAGGCAAUCCCCUGGGCCUGUACUGACGAUCAUGCACGAAAGUGUGGGGAGCAAACAGG
Molecule: ribosomal RNA, 253 nt
Filed under: uncultured bacterium
Lineage: Bacteria
Description: partial 16S ribosomal RNA
Rfam family: Bacterial small subunit ribosomal RNA
Source: RNAcentral